RNAcentral lists this ribosomal RNA (394 nucleotides) under uncultured bacterium. RNAcentral's name for it is "partial 16S ribosomal RNA". It matches the Rfam family "Bacterial small subunit ribosomal RNA", at positions 338 to 729 of the family's 1533-position model. The record is from RNAcentral.
CCUACGGGUGGCAGCAGUGAGGAAUAUUGGUCAAUGGACGAAAGUCUGAACCAGCCAAGUCGCGUGAAGGAUGACUGCCCUAUGGGUUGUAAACUUCUUUUAUCAAGGAAUAAAGCGAGGCACGUGUGCCUUUUUGCAUGUACCUUAUGAAUAAGGAUCGGCCAACUCCGUGCCAGCCGCCGCGGUAAUACGGAGGGUCGGGGCGUUUACCGGAUUUUUUGGGGUUAAAGGGAGGGUGGGUCGGGUUGUAAGUCCGUUGUUAAAGUUUGCGGCGUAACCGUAACAGUGCCGUUGAUACUGGCGGUCUUGAGUACAGGUGAGGUAGGCGGAAUGCGUGGUGUAGCGGUGAAAUGCUUAGAUAUCACGAAGAACCCCGAUUGCGAAGGCAGCGUAC